Molecule: non-coding RNA, 337 nt
Organism: Homo sapiens (human)
Lineage: Eukaryota; Metazoa; Chordata; Mammalia; Primates; Hominidae
Source: the annotation of a RefSeq genome assembly
AUGGCCUGGACCCCUUUCCUGCUCACCCUGCUCACUCUCUGCACAGGUUUUGUGGCCUUCUCUAAGCUGACUCAGCUGCCUGAAGUGUCUGUGGCUUUGGGACAGAUGGCCAGGAUCACCUGCCAUGGAGAGGACUUAGAAAGCUAUUAUGCACACUGGUACCAACACAAGUCAGUCCAAACCCCUAAUCUCAUUGUAUACAAUGAUAGAAAGCUGUGCUCAGAGAUCACUGAGCGAUUCUCUGGUUCCUGCUCAGGGGGAACAGCCACACUGACCAUUACUGGGGCUCACGUUGAAGACGAGGCUAUUUUUGUUUUUCUGGAGAUAAAAACACAUU